UACGGGGGGGGCAAGCGUUGUUCGGAAUUACUGGGCGUAAAGGGCGCGUAGGCGGCCUCAGGUGUCGGAUGUGAAAGCCCGGGGCUCAACCCCGGAGGUGCAUCCGAAACUCUGGGGCUGGAGGUCGGAAGAGGAGGGUGGAAUACCCAGUGUAGAGGUGAAAUUCGUAGAUAUUGGGUGGAACACCGGUGGCGAAAGCGGCUCUCUGGACCUCUUCUGACGCUGAGGCACGAAAGCUAGGGUAGCGAACGGG
This 253-nucleotide ribosomal RNA is filed under the name uncultured bacterium. Its description in RNAcentral is "partial 16S ribosomal RNA". It matches the Rfam family "Bacterial small subunit ribosomal RNA", at positions 524 to 776 of the family's 1533-position model. The record is from RNAcentral.